Molecule: unclassified non-coding RNA, 210 nt
Filed under: Glaucomycena abramsii
Lineage: Eukaryota; Fungi; Basidiomycota; Agaricomycetes; Agaricales; Mycenaceae
Also listed under: 1 other name
Description: Mycena abramsii partial internal transcribed spacer 2
Source: RNAcentral
AAUUAUCAACCUUGCUCGCUUUUACCGGCUUGAGUGAGGCUUGGAUGUGAGGGCUUUGCUGGCUUCCUUCAGUGGACGGUCUGCUCCCUUUAAAUGCAUUAGUGGGAUCCUUUGUGGACCGUCACUUGGUGUGAUAAUUAUCUAUGCCAUCUGACUUUGAAGCAAACUUUAUGGGAACCCGCUCAUAACCGUCUUCGGACAAUCUUGACA